GCACACUGCCUGAGGUGAUAGUGCACCUCACUAGGCCGCUUGCGCUCAGUCCUAUCUACGCAGGUCUACCUCGCAGACGGCAUACGUAUAGGGCACACGACACCUGGCCCUGUCCCUGCACGAUGUGACGCACGCGCAGACUAGCUUGUUUGCGCGUGAUGGGACGCAUGCAUAGACUGGCCCCACGCCUUGCAUAGAUAGGACGUGCGCAUAGUG
This 216-nucleotide long non-coding RNA is filed under the name Carica papaya (papaya). RNAcentral's name for it is "long non-coding RNA (CPAP_LNC010661)". Lineage: Eukaryota; Viridiplantae; Streptophyta; Magnoliopsida; Brassicales; Caricaceae. The record is from RNAcentral.